RNAcentral lists this ribosomal RNA (253 nucleotides) under uncultured bacterium. RNAcentral describes it as "partial 16S ribosomal RNA". It matches the Rfam family "Bacterial small subunit ribosomal RNA", at positions 524 to 776 of the family's 1533-position model. The record is from RNAcentral.
UACAGAGGGGGCAAGCGCUGUUCGGAAUUACUGGGCGUAAAGGGCGCGUAGGCGGCCUGCUAAGUCGAACGUGAAAUCCCCGAGCUCAACUCGGGAACUGCGUCCGAUACUGGCAGGCUUGAAUCCGGGAGAGGGAUGCGGAAUUCCAGGUGUAGCGGUGAAAUGCGUAGAUAUCUGGAGGAACACCGGUGGCGAAGGCGGCAUCCUGGACCGGCAUUGACGCUGAGGCGCGAAAGCCAGGGGAGCAAACGGG